This 119-nucleotide ribosomal RNA is filed under the name Lepisosteus oculatus (spotted gar). Lineage: Eukaryota; Metazoa; Chordata; Actinopteri; Semionotiformes; Lepisosteidae. The record is from RNAcentral.
UCCAGUAGCCAUAUCACCCUGCAACUCACAACUAGCAACCCACUGAAGCUAAGCAGGUGUGAGCCUGUUCAGUAUCUGGAUGGGAGACCUCCUGCGAAAAUCUAAGGUUGCAGCUGGAA